AAAAUGGUAGCAUAGUAGGCUUAGAGCCAACUUUCACACCAGAAGGUGUUUCUUCUUUUACCUCUAGAAGAGAGUUCUUGGAAGUGUCAGUUUUACCAGUACUAUCAGACGAAUUCAAGAUCGAUUUCUGGCUCAACCCAGAACAUUUGGUUUUGGAUUCAUUUUCAUUAGAUAAAGAUGAUGGCUCAGCACAGAUAGGUGAAGGAGGUUGGAACAUAGAGUUCCACCUCUUCUUAAUAGGGAUACCUGACGAAGAGUUACUAGACUGCCGAGCAAGAACACCAGGCUCUUCGUUCCCGGAAACCGGCAUGGUUCUAAAGCUUUUUAUCUCCAGAAAAUAUCACUCUACUACAACGAAGAAGUUCAACACAUCUGAAAAACUAGAUCACAGUCCUCUAA
Molecule: unclassified non-coding RNA, 399 nt
Filed under: Hevea brasiliensis (rubber tree)
Lineage: Eukaryota; Viridiplantae; Streptophyta; Magnoliopsida; Malpighiales; Euphorbiaceae
Source: RNAcentral